This 305-nucleotide ribosomal RNA is filed under the name uncultured bacterium. RNAcentral describes it as "partial 16S ribosomal RNA". It matches the Rfam family "Bacterial small subunit ribosomal RNA", at positions 505 to 807 of the family's 1533-position model. The record is from RNAcentral.
ACAGCAGUCGCCACGGGAACACGUAGGGUGCAAGCGUUAAUCGGAAUUACUGGGCGUAAAGCGUGCGCAGGCGGUUUGUUAAGACAGAUGUGAAAUCCCCGGGCUCAACCUGGGAACUGCAUUUGUGACUGGCAAGCUAGAGUGUGGCAGAGGGGGGUGGAAUUCCGCGUGUAGCAGUGAAAUGCGUAGAUAUGCGGAGGAACACCGAUGGCGAAGGCAGCCCCCUGGGCCAACACUGACGCUCAUGCACGAAAGCGUGGGGAGCAAACAGGAUUAGAUACCCGGGUAGUCCCUGUCUCUUAUAC